GACGAACGCUGGCGGCGUGCUUAACACAUGCAAGUCGAACGGAAAGGCCCUGCUUUUGUGGGGUGCUCGAUUGGCGAACGGGUGAGUAACACGUGAGUAACCUGCCCUUGACUUUGGGAUAACUUCAGGAAACUGGGGCUAAUACCGGAUAGGAGCUCCUGCUGCAUGGUGGGGGUUGGAAAGUUUCGGCGGUUGGGGCUGGACUCGCGGCUUCUCAGCUUGUUGGUGGGGUAGUGGCUUACCAAGGCUUUGACGGGUAGCCGGCCUGAGAGGGUGACCGGCGACCAUGGGACUGAGAGACGGAGCAGUAUCCUACGUGCCGCAGCAGUGGGGAACCUGGCACAACGGGGGGAAGCCUGAUGCGGCAGCGCCGCGUGCGGGAUAACGGCCUUCGGGGUGUAAACCGAUUUCGCCUGUGACGAAGCGUGCGUGACGGUAAUGGGUAAAGAAGCACCGGCUAACUACGUG
RNAcentral lists this ribosomal RNA (468 nucleotides) under uncultured bacterium. RNAcentral's name for it is "partial 16S ribosomal RNA". It matches the Rfam family "Bacterial small subunit ribosomal RNA", at positions 28 to 507 of the family's 1533-position model. The record is from RNAcentral.